UUUCACCUCCUCCUUAUGUUAGCAUAGUAAUACAAAAAAUUGAUCACUUUCUUCUCUCUUUGGCGCGGUUGUAGAAAACGAACAAAUUUGCCUGGAAGCCUCACUUCGCCGGCCGGCCGGCCGGUUUGUGUUAAGAUAAACGAAACACCAACCAUGUACCAUGUACGUACCAAGCCAGCCAGCCAGCCGUCCGUCAAUCAUCUGUAAUCUGAAACCUCAAGUGGAUUGCGUGUUUGAUGAAAGGGAAAAUUAAGAAUGAUCCAAGGACCCUAAUGAAGCUUAUGAAGAGCUUUAAUAGGAGCUUCAGUUAUAGAUGAACAAAGGAAAAACUCCCCAUAUUCUGCUGUUAAAGAUCAGGCCAAUGAGGUUGGGGAAUCAUUACCUGCUGCAUCAUUGGAGGAGAAUGCAGAAGAUGAUGAAGACCAGAUUUCGGACUGAAGUGUAUGCAUAAUCGCAAGUGCCAUCCCUAAAAAAAAGGCAAGAAGAGUUAAUUUUACUUACAUAAGUUGGGCUUUUUUGACAUACAUUAUUAUCAUAAAUGUUGAGACAUUUGCUUUGA
This is a long non-coding RNA of Impatiens glandulifera, 559 nucleotides long. RefSeq lists it as uncharacterized. The record is from RefSeq and is a predicted model, not a curated record. The transcript has 4 exons. Lineage: Eukaryota; Viridiplantae; Streptophyta; Magnoliopsida; Ericales; Balsaminaceae.